This 520-nucleotide ribosomal RNA is filed under the name uncultured Entrophospora. RNAcentral's name for it is "SSU rRNA". It matches the Rfam family "Eukaryotic small subunit ribosomal RNA", at positions 569 to 1083 of the family's 1831-position model. Lineage: Eukaryota; Fungi; Glomeromycota; Glomeromycetes; Entrophosporales; Entrophosporaceae. The record is from RNAcentral.
AGCAGCCGCGGUAAUUCCAGCUCCAAUAGCGUAUAUUAAAGUUGUUGCAGUUAAAAAGCUCGUAGUUGAAUUUCGGGAUUGACGUGAUGGUCAUGCCUUAAGGGGUGUGAACUGUUACUGUUGAUUUCUCACCUUCUGGAGAAACUUGAUGUCCUUUAUUGGGUGUCUUGCGGAUCCAGGACCUUUACCUUGAAAAAAUUAGAGUGUUUAAAGCAGGCAUUUUUGCUCGAAUACAUUAGCAUGGAAUAAUAGAAUAGGACGGCAUGGUUCUAUUUUGUUGGUUUCUAGGAUCACCGUAAUGAUUAAUAGGGAUAGUUGGGGGCAUUAGUAUUCAAUUGUCAGAGGUGAAAUUCUUGGAUUUAUUGAAGACUAACUACUGCGAAAGCAUUUGCCAAGGAUGUUUUCAUUAAUCAAGAACGAAAGUUAGGGGAUCGAAGACGAUCAGAUACCGUCGUAGUCUUAACCAUAAACUAUGCCGACUAGGAAUCAGACGAUGUUAAUUUUUUAAUGACUCGUUUGG